UACGGAGGGUGCAAGCGUUGCUCGGAAUUAUUGGGCGUAAAGGGUAGGUAGGUGGUCUCAUUUGUCUGGGGUGAAAGCCUUGGGCUUAACUCAAGAAGUGCCCCAGAAACGGUGAGACUGGAGUCCUGGAGAGGGUCGUGGAAUUCCCGGUGUAGCGGUGAAAUGCGUAGAGAUCGGGAGGAACACCAGAGGCGAAAGCGGCGACCUGGACAGGCACUGACACUCAACUACGAAAGCGUGGGGAGCAAACAGG
Molecule: ribosomal RNA, 253 nt
Filed under: uncultured bacterium
Lineage: Bacteria
Description: partial 16S ribosomal RNA
Rfam family: Bacterial small subunit ribosomal RNA
Source: RNAcentral